AUUAACCCAGUAUAUACAUGUAGGACACUCAUUGUUUAUGUCCAUGUUUAUGUUAAACCGCUCGUUUCAGUUACUGGCUUCUGUAAAACUUUUGGAUAUUACAUAAAAUCAUCCAGACAUCAGUCAUAUUUAAACUGGCCUCAUGCAAUCCCGACUGAAAAUGAAUGUGUUAUCGCUGGAUUCUUUUAUACAGGUGAAUUCGAUCUAAUCAGAUGUUUCCAAUGCGGCAUUGGUCUUAAGGAUGUCAGU
This is a long non-coding RNA of Dreissena polymorpha, 249 nucleotides long. RefSeq lists it as uncharacterized. Lineage: Eukaryota; Metazoa; Mollusca; Bivalvia; Myida; Dreissenidae. The record is from RefSeq and is a predicted model, not a curated record. The transcript has 3 exons.